RNAcentral lists this long non-coding RNA (20735 nucleotides) under Gossypium barbadense (sea-island cotton). RNAcentral's name for it is "long non-coding RNA (GBAR_LNC016511)". The record is from RNAcentral. Lineage: Eukaryota; Viridiplantae; Streptophyta; Magnoliopsida; Malvales; Malvaceae.
UAUAACUUGAACGCCAGACUUUGGGUGCAAAGUGAUAAGUUCGAAAUACAAAAACGGGUUGACGCCACAAGGGUUACUUGAUAAGUCUAACCAGUCCUUGGAGAACAAUGAGAGUUGAAAACAAACUCACAAAGUAAACAAAUUUCAUAUAAGUUUUAAAAGUAUAUUGUCUAACCCCAAAACAAUUACAAAGCAAACUAUUUAUAGCUAAAUUCCUAGGCUAGCCGAAUGGACACUUGAGCAGCUAAAAAGUCAGCUUAUUUUCAAAGCAAAUGAAUUGAAAAUUUCAUGUAGCUUCCUAGAACGUCCCUUGAAGCUUUCUUGAAGAUUCCCAGCUUUGGAGACGUCAAUGGAUAGCCAUUUGAUGUCUUCUAAUAGCCUUGAAUUAAUGAGGUGAUGGUUGAGCUGAAAUGGCUGAAUAGAAUUGUUUAGAUUGGCCUAAAUUCGUCCAACUUGUGUGAAAGCUCUUAUGGAUGCUUGGGGAGCUCAAAGGCCAACUUGGGGAAGAGAAAUGGGCUGCCAAAUAAAUGUGAGGAGUCAUAGCUUUUUAAUCUCCACGAAGAGGCACAUUCCCUCACAUGGACGGCACAUUUAUGGCAUUCGAGAAGAACAAAAAUGGCUCAUGGAAAAGAGGAAUUAGCAACUCUUCAUGGAUCCCUUGCUGUGCACGAAAAAAAUAAAUCAGCAGCUCAUUAAGUGGACGUUCCUUGCAUGUGGAACAUCACAUUUAAUUCAUGGCUUUGCUGCACAAUAAAUCAGCAAGCAGCUUCUUUAAUUUCGUCCAUUAAAUGGCCACAUGAAAAAGCACAAGCAGCUCCUUAAAUGCUUCCAGCAUCCAUUGAAUGGCCAUCCAUAAUUGCUUUUGCUGGACAUUAAUUCCAGCAAUUUUAAUUUCAGCAACAACCACUUCUUUUAAUGCUGUCCAUGUACCUGCAUGCAACAACCAUUAAUUCAUGUUAAGACAACAUUAAAUGGUUAACUAGACAUAUUUAAUUCGGCAGCCACAAUUAACUUCAACUAGACACCAUUUAAGACAUCAUUAAAUUCGGUUGUAGCAAAACAAAUUAAAUGAUGUAAUGACAAUUAAAUUCAGCUGGACACCUUAAAAACAUACAUUAAAUUCGUCCAAACAUGUAGCAGCAGCAUUAAUUUCGUCCAGACAUAUUUAUAACAUGCAGUGGCAGCAUUAAAUUCGUCAUAAUAAAUAGAUGUAAUAGCCUAGACAUAUUUAUGCUAUGUAUGAAAAUAGGACACAUUAAAAAAAACAUAAAAAUAAAACAUAUUUAAAACACCUAAUUAAAAUGUCCAAUUUUAAUAAAUUUAAUACUAACACUUAGUUGUGCUGGAAUAAAUAAAUAAACUAACUUAUUCAAUUAACUUAGUUGUGCUCGGCAAUCUACGCACAUCCUCCAUGAACCAUCUUUUUUAGGCACCAACAGAACGGGAACCGCACAUGGACUUAAACUCUCCUGUAUAUAGCCUUUUUCCAUUAAUUCUGCCACUUGUCGUUGCAACUCUUUAGUUUCCUCUGGGUUGCUUCGAUAAGCUGGUCGAUUUGGAAUUGUAGCUCCGGGAAUAAAGUCUAUUUGGUGUUCAAUACCUCAAAAAGGAGGCAAUCCACUUGGCACAUCUUUCGGGAAAACGUCUUUGAAUUCCUGAAGCAAAGAAACAAUAGACAAAGGUAAAGAAUUAUCAAGUUCAUUAGCAUCAAAUAAGCAUUCCUUGUACAUAAGUACAAGUACGGGUUGAUGCAACAACAAUGAUUUUCUUAUCUCUUUUUCUCUCGCAAAUACGCUCAUUUUACCACUUUCAAUUUCUUUUUGACUUUCUUGUUCCUCUCGUACUUUUACCUCCACUCCCUCAACUUUUUCUUUCUUUUUUUCAUUUUUCUUGUCUCUCUCUUUUUCAAUCUUUUCCUUCAACUUCAAUUGAUCUUGGUACACUUGCUUUGGAGUCAAUGGCGCUAAAGUUACAUUCUUGCCUCGAUGCUUGAAUGUAUAGCGAUUUGUAUAACCAUCAUAGAUCACGCGCCUAUCAAACUGCCAUGGAUGUCCCAAAAGUAGAUGUCCCGCAUGCAUAGGAACUACAUCGCACACCACUUCAUCUUGGUACUUUCCAAUAGAAAAUGCCACCACAGCUUGUUUUGUUACUUUCAGCUCACCUCCAUCAUUUAGCCAUUGCAACUUGUAUGGAGUUGGAUGUUUAGUUGUAGCCAAACCUAGCUUUUCCACCAACAUAAUACUAGCUACAUUAGUACAGCUACCACCAUCAAUGAUCAUACUACAUACCUUGCCUUGAAUGUGGCACCGAGUGUGAAAAAUAUUCUCCCUUUGUUGAUCAGUUUCAACACUUUGAAUACUGAGGCUACGCUUCACCACAAGAAUUUCUCCUUCAACGGGUAACUCUAAAUCUUCAUCAUCGGAUGGCAUUUCAGGUUCAUUUUCAUCCUCUUCCUCCGACUCAACUUCUCCAUCAGCUCUUAUCACCAUAAUUCGUCGAUUGGGACAUUGACUAGCUAUGUGCCCUCGGCCUUGACACUUGAAACAUCUUAUGUCUCUCGUGCGAUUUGGCGCUUGCUCAUUUUUAUUUCGACUUGUCUCUCCAAUGGGUUGAUUUGAUUUAACUGCUACAGUCGGCUCUUUUGUUCUAACAGGGGGUUUGUUGACUCCUUGAUUCCAUUUGUUGGUUGAAGAAUUGGCAUAGGGUCUACUAACUCCUUUUUGCUUAAGUUGCUUUUCAACCUUAAUCGCCAUGUGAACCAUGUCCAUCACUUCAACAUAGUGUUGUAGUUCAACUAUGUUGGCAAUGUCACGGUUUAAACCCGCAAGGAACCUAGCCAUGGUUGCCUCUCGAUCCUCCUCGAUUUCAGCUCGAAUCAUCGCUAUCUCCAUCUCCUUAUAAUAAUCUUCAACACUUCUAUUUCCUUGAGUAAGGUUUUGAAGUCGUUGAUAAAGAUCUCGAUGGUAGUAUGAUGGAAUAAAUCUUUUCCGCAUGACUGAUUUCAUUUCUCCCCAAGUAGAGAUGGGUCUUUCACCAUUUCGUCGUCAACUAGUUACAAGCUGGUCCCACCACACUAUGGCAUAAUCAGAAAACUCAAUUGCCGCGAGUUUCACCUUUUUACUCUCCGAAUAGUUGUGGCAAUCAAAAACAAGCUCAAUCUUCUUUUCCCACUCCAAAUAAGCUUCAGGGUCAUUCUUACCUUGGAAUGGUGGAAUUGUCAUCUUGAUAUUCUUAAGAUUGUCAUCUGGUCGUUCACGAUCUCUAGGACCUCGUUGUCGUUGACGGCCUCGACGUCAUACACUUUAGGCAGAUGAGUGAUCACUUUCUUGUCCACUUGCUUCAUAAGGAUCUUGAAUUGGACGUUCUCACUCUUGUCUUGCAUCUUCUGGAGUCAUCUCACGUUGUUCUCGUCUCUCGACUCGAUAUAAUCGAUCUUCAAUUGGUUCAAGUUUUCUAUUAAAUAAUCACUCCAUCUCUCGCAUAAUUGCUUGAAGGGUAAGAUCUGGCACUCCUCCUCCAACAUUUCUUACGGGACGGAACCCUCCUUCCACAUUUUGAUUUCUUUCCGGACUUCGUGACAUAUUUUUUUUUAAAAUGAACUCACAACAAAGAAUCUCACUAUCCACUCACAAAGAAAUCUCACUUCCUUGGCUUUUAUACUCUCGAAUAAACUCACCACUCUCUUGCCUCUUUCCACUCACUCCUCCUCUCUAAGUUCUUAGGAAUUAUUUAAACUUAAAAAGCAGUUGUUGUGGGUCAGCUUACAACCUUGAUGAUUGGGCUUGGUAAGAAUAUUGUAGGACAAAGGAAAGUAGGCUUGAAUCAAGAAAUGAAAGGUUGGAUGUGGCGAAAUAGUAGAAGGUAGUAAUAACUAUAAUUUGGGCAGCAAACAACAACAAAAUUUCAAAACUAGCUUUUUUUUCUUUUUCACGAAUUUUUUUUUCACGAAUUUUUUUUUCAACUUGAUAUCCAAUCUCUUGAGUUUGAAUGGAAACCAAAAAAUUUUUUUUUGAAAUUUUUUUUGAAGAAACUAUUAUACCGUAUUGCCGACAAUGUCGUUUCUUACUCCAAAUUCGCUAGCUCUGAUACCAAUUUGAUACGAACUCGUCUCGUGAUGUUUUGAGUCGUAUGUGUUGCCCAAUCGUGAAUUGAGUAAGGAUGGAUUCGUUUCGGUUUUAAAAUGAAACAAAAUAGAGAUAAUGGCUUCAAACAAAGGUAAUAAACAAAAUAAAGAGGAAACAAUAACAAAUUAAUUGGCUAAGACCGAAAAUGAACCAACAAUAACAAAUUGUUGACCCGAAUCUCAAAAUGGUCUUUAGGUGUUUUCGGUUAAAGGAAACAGGAAAGGAACCUUGACCCACUAUCAACUAUGAUAGGAACCAAAGGUAUAUUGAAUGCCACACCAAAGGUGAUAAGUUCAGCAACAAAGAAAAGAUGGAUGCCACAAGCUAUGCUUGAUAAGUCAAAUCAAUUCCGAAAGAACAAAGAGAAUUGGAUAGCUCACAAUUCAAAUAUUUCAUCUAUAUUCAGCAAAAAGUUGUUCCCUCUAUGGCUGAUUACAUCUAUUUAUAAUGCUAGAACAAGGUAACCGAAUGGUCAAAAACAUCCACUUAAUGUGCCAUAAAAAACUGAUGUCUUUUCUUAUUCUUUGAACCAAAUAACUCCUUCCAUAAAAUCACUUUAAUUCAGCUGAUUUGAAUGUCUUUAAUGGCUUAGAAAAUGACUCUUGAGUUGUCCUUGGCUAGUUGAAUAGACACCAUCUCUUACCAGCUCCUUAAUGACAUUCAAAGGCUUGAUUAAUUUCUCUUAAAAGCUCCAAAAACGGCUGGAAGUGGAAGAGUUGCUGCUGAAUUUUAAAGGGCAUAAAAUACUCUUUAAAAACUCCUUUUAAUGAUCUUUAAGCUCCUUUUUUUAACAGCCCCUUUAAUUGUAACUCAAAAGAACUUGAACAGCCACUUAUUAAAUGUGUAACAGCCUUGAAUUGUAACCACUAUAAGCUAAAAAGUCACCUGCAAUAAACACAUUAAAAUGAGUUUAUUAAACACAUUAAAACACUUAUUAAUCAUAACACAUAUUAAACUUACUUAAAUAAAUGAACUAAAACAUAUAUGCAAUAAUUAUUCCAGCAACUAGUUUAAUUAAAGAAGCAUAAUUUAAAGAACUUAAUUUAUGCAUCAAUAAAUAAUCCUAGGAACUAGAUCAAUUAAGAAGCAUCUUAUUUAAUAAAGUUCAAUAACUAACUCAUGUAUUAAAACUUUAAGAUAAGUUAAAUUAAUUGAUCAGCAACUUAUUUAUUAAACUAAAACAAGUUAAUUAAAAGAAACAAAUUCAGCUUGCAAUAAAUUGCAAGUAACGCCUUUUGAACGGUUUGAAGCACGACUAUCAAAUCCAGCCACUCCCUCUUCCCAAGCUCGUUCCACAUAGCUUGCUAUUGCAUUUCGAAAUCUCUUAGCUCGUGAUUGAGUUAUUGGUCCUCGUGGCAGCUCAAUGGAUUCGGUAGUAAUUUCCCGGGCUAAGGUUGCAUCAGUAGAUCCCUUACAUGGCUUACCUUUAAGCACUUGUGGACUAGGGUCAUCUACGAUCUUACUUUCUCGACUAAUCAAAAUCGUUUCUCCUUAGAAAAGUAUUGAAGUUGAAAUUGAUCGAUGGGAUUUCGAGAAACCUGAAAAGUAGAAACAAAACAAGGAAAAUUCAUAGGAUGGUUAGUAACAACACUCCUUUCUUUUUCACUUUCAUCCUUUUCGUUUAUUUCUUUUUCCAACUCAUUUUCAAAUCCUCUUUCUUUUACCAUAUCACUCAUUUCUUUUGUACUCUCGUUUCUUCCUUCAAUCUCACUCUCUUUUUCGGUUUCCUUUUCUUUUUCGCACUCGUUUUUAUUCUCAAUCUCAUUUUCAAUUUUCUUUUCUAUCUCCCACUCAUCUUCUUUUUCUUUCAUUUCUUUUUCAUGUUCAUUUUCUCGCUCGCGCUCUUUUUCUUUUUCUUUUUCACAUGCUAUUUCAAUUCCAUUACAAAAGUAGAAAUCAUCAAAAUGAGAAGCCUUUCGUUGAGAAUAAGAAAAGGAUUCUUCAUACAAAUGGCAAUCUUCUCUUUAUGAUAGAUCUUUCGUAGUCGAGUACUUUGACACUCUUGAAACACGUGCACCUCUUCGUAAAUAAUCCUUUGUAGAUGAAUAAAUUGAGGCACUUGUAGAGACACGUUUACCUUUUCGUUUAUCAUCUCAGAAGGACUCAAACUUGGAGUUUGCUUCUCUUGGUCUCGAACGCCUUGUUGAAUAGAAGUCUUGAUAAGAGUCUCUUGUCGAGUAGUUUCGUCGGGAUGAUCUUAACUCCGUUUCUCGACUUGGUAGAUUUUGUUUUCGUCGGGCCUUUUCCUCCACUCGGUCCAAACGAUAAUGCAAUUUAUCAAAUUUUAAUUUUACCAUUCUACGCAUUUCUUGCAUCAAAUAUUGGAAUUCUGAUUCGAAAAAUUCUUCUUGAGACAUGAUUUAAUUGCUCACCACAAAUGUGACAGCCCAAAAUUGACCCUAGUCGGGAAGUGGUUUCGGGACCACAAAACCGAGUCAUAAAAAUAAUUAAUUUCCAUAUUCUAUGCUUAUUAUGUGUGUACAUGAGUAUGUGGAAGUUUCAUUCUCCAAUUUUGCCAAUUGCAUGAGAAAUUAUUAAAUAGGGAUCGAUAUGAGACAUGGUGAAAAUAUGAUAGGCUAAUUUAAAAUGGUCUAUUAAUGCAUGUUAUGAAAAUGAUGGGUUUGCAUGUCAAAUUACCUAAAAUUUGAGCUAGUGAUUGGCCAUGCUAUGGGUGGAAACAUGUUGGGAACAUGUUGGCUUAGUGAGGUAUGUUAGGAAAAAAUAAAAUAAGGAGUAUGGGUAAUAAAGAAAUGAAAACAAAAAAAAAUGUGUGGUUGUUUCCCCCCCAUUGCCGUGAGCUAAAGAAAGGAAAAGAAAAAUUUUGUUCAUCCUUUUUCAUCCUCUUUUGACCGAAAAUUCAAAGGGAGGAGGAAGGAGUUCUUGCUUCAUGUUUGGUUUGGAAGAGAAUUAGGAGGAAGUUUGGCCAUGCAUGUAACUAGAUUGAGGUAUGUUUGAUAUUAUUCUUUGAGAUUCAUGUAUAUUCUAAGUUGUAAGUUUGAAAUCUACCUAGCUAUGGUUCAAACUUUGUUAAAUGAUGGAGAUGAUAUUCGGCCAUGAAUGUUACAUUCUUGGUUGGUAUUUUGAUGUCUUUGGUGAUAAGGUAUGGAGAUGGUUGACUUUGAGUUGUUAUUAAGGAGGUGCUGAAUGUGGUCCUUGAAGGGCCUUGAGGAACAAUAUAUGUGGUUUGGGUUACAACAUUCGGCCAUGGUAGUUUGAGGAUUAAGGAUUUUAUUUCUUGUUAAAAUUGGAUGAAUCUUAGUGUGUGAGUGUUUGAACUAACUAAGGAUCAAAUAGAUGCAUGGGUACAAAGUAGGAAGAAUCGGCUACUAUGGUUGAUACUAAUGCCGAAUGUGAAAAUGUUAUAUUAAAUAAUGUAUGUGAUUUGUGUUAAUAAUAUGAAAAAAAUAUAUAUUUAGAUGUAUUGUAAGUGAUUAAGUAUUAAACCAAAAGUUGCUAAAAUUGCCAUUUCUUUAGCCGAAUAUGUGUUUGAUCAAUGAAGAAUUUGUUGGAAAAUAUAGGUGAACUUGGUAAGAGUACUCGGCUUAGUGUAUAAAUGAUAUAAAGAUUUUAGAAAUUAUUUUUGGUUAGGUGUAUGUAUGAUUAGGUAUAUUCGGCCAUAUGAGUAAAUAUAUAGAUGAUGUUAAAUUUGAUUAUGUAUAAUGGGCCAUAUAGAGUACACAUUGUGAUAUUAACUUUGAUUCUCUCUAAUUGAUCAAGUGGGUGAUUAGUAAGGGUGAUUGCCGAAUAUACUAACAUACAUAUGCAUGUGUAAUUGGAUUGUAAAUAUUUAGCAAGGCGGUUAAACUAGUUGAUUUAUUGAUUAAGCUCAAGGAGUUAAAGGAGGAGAAUCGAGCAAAGGCAAAGAAAAGAUCAUCGAGUAGCCGAGUUGGAACCAUCUUACCCAACACAAGUAAGUCAUUAAGCAUAUAUUUUGUAUUAAUUUAAAUGGUCAUAACGUCUAUGUAAUGAUGCUGAAUGGAACGAUAAAUAUAUAUAUACAUGUAUGCAUGGGGUGAUGAAAGUAUUGAAUAAAAAAAAAGAAAAGAGGUGAGAUGAAUUGAGUUGUUGGUUUAGGCACUAAGUGUGUGGGUGUAAACAUUUAUGAUCAUGAGAUUGGCACUAAGUGUGCGGGUUUAAAUUGUACAGCACUAAGUGUGCGAGUUUAAAGUACAUGGCACUAAGUGUGCGCGGUUGAUUAUUAAGCACUAUGUGUGCGAACCCAAUAUAUAUAUUUUCUAUAAAUUAUUUACAUUAAGGGUGCGACUUUACCGAGUCGAUUUUGGACAGCGGAAAAAGGUAAGUGUGCGAACUUGAAAUGCAUGGCACUAAGUGUGUGAGUUUAAAGUGCAUGGCACUAAGUGUGCGUGGUUGAUUACUAAACAUUAUGCGUGCAACCCUAUAUAUAUUUUCUAUAAAUUAUUUACAUGAAGGGUGCGACUUUACCGAGUUAAUUUUGGACAGCGGAAAAGGUAAGUACCUUGAGUUCAUGGCUAAUAGGCGCUAUGUUUAUAUUUGGACUUGAGCUUGGUAAGUUUUGAACCUAUGUGACGAUUAUAGUUGAAGUCAAGUACAUAAGGUUCAUUGUGGAAUAGGUGAAAGUUCGUUUAAUUGUAUGAUUAUAACGAAAAUAAAAUGAUGUAUGAAAGGUCAAUGUAGGACUUGGUAUGAGAUUGAACCAUAGGGUUUAAGGAACUAUGGUAUAGUUCGGUAUGGAUGGAGUACUUAACCUCAUUUCAUUGUUUCCUGUUGUGAUAAUUUUAUUAAUGGAUGGUUGUGGAAUGCUUAUGGCUUACUGAGUUAUAUACUCAUUCGGUGUUUGCUUGUCACCUAUUCUAGGUUUCUUGGACUCGUCUCUUUUUGCGUGAUCGUGCCGUCGUCGAAGUCAUCACACCGGCUAGCAACCUUUGGUAUUUUCUUCUUAGUUGGUCUAGGAGAACAUUUCGGCAUGUAUAGGCUAAUAUGUUUUGUUGAAAUUUGGUAUGUAAACUUUUAGCCAUGCGAAAAUGGCAUAAUGUUCGGUUGAAUUUGGUUCUAAUGUUGGGUCGUAAGUCUUGGUAAUACGAUUUUUAUGCCAUAUGUCAUGGCUGAUUAAUUUUGGUGUUAAGAUUCAUGAUACGGCAAUAGCGUAGUAGGGAGAUGUUUGACAAUGAUUAGCCUUUGGUAUGGCUAGUCAUGAUUAUAAUUUUGUGAUAUGUAUGAUGAAUUACUAGUUAGAUCAAUGAGAAAUCACGAAAUGGACAUAGUUGCUUCAGUAACAGAUGCUGGCAGCAGCAGUGACGUGGGAUUGAAAAAUUACAAAAAUUAUUAGGAAUGGUAUUAAAUAGUGAAUAAAUUAUGUAAUCGAAGCUCGAUGAGUCUAUUUUCAUAUAGAAGCAACGAAACAAUCAUAUGGACAGUAUGUUAAGAGAUAUUCAGGUUCUCGUGAGACAGGGCCAGAACGGUUUCUGGGUUCCCUGUUCCGACUUUGGAAAUUCAUUAUAAAUUAACCAGAGAUAAUUAGGAGCCAUGCCAUAUAUGUAUAGAUUCCUCUCUGAGUAUAUUUUCUAUAGAAACAAACGGAAUCAGUAUUAAAGUUCUGUACUGGGAGAUAUCUAGGUCGUAAUGCGAAAAGGUCAGUGCAGUCGACCCCAGUAACAUGGGAGACUUUGACUAAUAAACUGUACUAAUUGGCCUGACCAAAAAUUAUAGAAAAAAAUAUGUAGAUGGGCAUAUGAGUCUAGUUUCAGGGAAAAUUCACGGAACUGGAUUUCGAGUUCCAGAACUCAAGAUAUGAUUUUUAAAGCAACCAGCACGCAGAUUGGCAGCUUGUCUGGAAAAAUUUUAAUAAGUGGUUUGAAGUCUGUUAACACCUCGUGUUUGACUCCGGUGACGGUCUUGAGUUUGGGGUGUUACAUUUGAUUGGUAUCAGAGCUAUGGUUUAGUCGGUUCUAGGACUACAUAGCACGUAUGAGUCUAGCUAUACAUGCCUUAAUGUUAAUGUUUAAAUGUGUGAUGACUUCUGACGGUUAAAAUUUUUGUUUUGAUUAGUAAAUGGAUCCCGGUGUAGAGAGAACCUUGGCGGAUGACGUUGAAAGUGUAGCGGCUGCUCCUGCACAAGGGACGCCGCCUGUUGAACCUCAGUCAUCUGCGAAUAAUCCAGGUGAGGGGGCUAAACAAGCCUUCUUUACCAUGAUGAAUGAGUGGGUCGUGCAGUAUGCCCGAACCAAUCCGGCUGUCCAACAAUUCCCGAAUUUGAAUAAUCCACCCCAGGAGCCCAUAAUGCCAUCAGUUACUGAUCCUGUGAGGCUGAGUAAGCCACCUGUAGACUUGAUUAGGAAGCGCGGGGCUGAGGAGUUUAGGGCCAUAGUUACUGAUGAUGCUGAAAGGGCCGAGUUCUGGCUUGAUAACACCGUUCGGGUGUUUGAUGAACUGUCAUGCACGCCCGAUGAAUGUCUAAAGUGUGCUAUAUCCUUGUUGCGGGACUCAGCCUACUAUUGGUGGAGGACCCUGAUUUCCAUAGUCCCAAACAAACGAGUUACUUGGGACUUCUUCCAAGCGGAAUUUCGAAAGAAAUAUAUUAGUCAACGGUUCAUCGAUCAAAAGCGUAAGGAAUUCUUGGAACUUAAGCAAGACCGUAUGACAGUAUCUGAAUACGAACAUGAAUUCGUAAGACUCAGUAGGUAUGCCCGGGAGUGUGUAGCUGAUGAGGUUGCUAUGUGCAAAAGAUUCGAAGAAGGAUUGAAUGAAGAUUUAAAGCUACUAGUGGGUAUUUUGGAGAUAAAAGAAUUCGUGACACUAGUCGAACGAGCCUGCAAGGCGGAAGAACUUGGAAAGGGGAAGAAGAAGGCUGAAUUUGAAGCUAGAGACUAUCGUAAAAGAUCGACGGGUAAAGCUCCGUUCUCAGCUGUAAAGAAGUUCAGGGAGGACACUAAUAAGUCGAGGAUGACUGCGGGAAUUUCCAUCAGAGCACGACCAUCGACGGACUCCCGAGCUACUUCGGUAGCUAGUGUGGGCAAUAAUCGUCUAGAGAAACCUGAAUGUCCCCAAUGUGGAAGACGACACAUAGGUGAAUGUUGGGGUAAGUCUAUUAACAGGGCCUGUUACGGAUGCAGUUCGAAGGACCACUUCAUUAGAGAUUGCACGGAACUUGAUGAGAAAAAUAAGAUUCAAGGUGUAAGACCUAGUGGAGUGACAACUAGAGGUAGACCACCGAGAAUUUUAGGAGGUAGGGGUGGUAGUCAGAGAGGGGCCUCUGAUACGGCUGUUCGAGCCGAGAACCGUACUCCUGCUAGAGCAUAUGCCAAUCGCGCACGAGAGGAGGCAUCCUCCCCUGACGUCAUCACUGGUACCUUCACUCUCUUUGAUACUAAUGUGAUUGCAUUGAUUGACCCUGGCUCUACUCAUUCAUAUGUAUGUGAAACCUUAGCAUCCAGAGAGACUCUACCUGUUGAGUCUACUGAGUUCGUAAUUCAGGUGUCAAAUCCCUUGGGUCGUUACGUGCUUGUCGACAAAGUAUGUAAGAAAUGCCCCCUAGUAAUUCGAGAUUCCUGUUUUCUGGCGGACUUGAUGCUUUUGCCGUUUGAUGAAUUUGAUGUUAUUCUUGGUUUGGAUUGGUUGACCGCACAUGAUGCGGUUGUGAAUUACAAAAGCAAGACUAUUGAUUUGAGGAGUGCGAAUAACGAGGUAAUCUGAGUUGAGUCUACGGACUUAAGGGGGUUGCCAGCUGUAAUAUCAGCAAUAUUGGCCCAUAAAUAUGUAAGAAAAGGGUGCGAAGCAUACCUUGCGUAUGUACUUUAUGACAAAGAAUUAGAAAAGAAACCCGAAUCUGUGCCGGUGGUUUGUGAAUACCCGGAUGUUUUUCCUGAAGAAUUACCGGGUUUACCACCUGUUGGGAGGUAGAGUUUGGUAUUGAGCUUGUACCUGGAACUACGCCAAUUUCGAUAGCUCCAUAUAGUAUGGCACCAACCGAGUUAAAGGAAUUGAAAGCUCAAUUGCAAGAGUUGACGGAUAGAGGUUUCGCUCGACCAAGUUUCUCACCUUGGGGUGCACCAGUAUUGUUCGUGAAAAAGAAGGACGGAACCAUGAGGUUGUGCAUUGACUAUCGUCAACUGAAUAAAGUGACGAUAAAGAAUAAAUAUCCGUUACCGUGUAUUGAUGAUUUGUUUGAUCAAUUAAAGGGAGCCUCAGUGUUUUCAAAGAUAGAUUUGAGAUCGGGCUAUUAUCAGUUGCGGAUUCGAGAUUCGGACGUACCCAAAACUGCUUUCAGAACGAGGUACGGUCACUACGAGUUCUUGGUGAUGCCGUUCGGGCUCACUAAUGCCCCUACGGUAUUUAUGGAUUUGAUGAAUCGGAUCUUCAGACCAUAUUUGGAUCGGUUCGUAGUUGUGUUCAUUGAUGACAUCUUGGUCUAUUCAAGAGAUGAGAUCGAACAUGCUGAACACUUGAGAUUAGUGUUGUAAAUUUUGUGGGAUAAGCAGUUAUAUGCGAAGUUCAGUAAGUGUGAGUUCUGGUUAAGAGAGGUUAGCUUCUUGGGUCAUGUGGUAUCCGCAUCGGGUAUUCGAGUUGACCCGAAAAAAAUCUCAGCCAUACUUAACUGGAAACCUCCGAGAAAUGUUACUGAGGUUCGGAGCUUUGUGGGACUCGCCGGUUAUUACCGACGAUUUUUCAAAGGUUUCUCGAUGAUAGCCACACCAAUGACGAAGCUACUUCAAAAGGAUGCUAAGUUCGAAUGGACGGAGAAAUGUCAGAAAGGCUUCGAUCAACUGAAAACUCAUUUGACGGAAGCUCCAAUUUUAGUGCAACCCGAAUCAGGCAAAGAGUUUAUCAUUUAUAGUGACGCAUCCCUACUCGGGUUGGGUUGCGUAUUGAUGCAAGAAGGUCGAGUUGUGGCCUAUGCGUCGAGACAAUUGAAGCCACACGAGAGAAAUUAUCCAACCCAUGAUCUCGAACUAGCCGCCAUCGUAUUUGCCUUGAAAAUAUGGCGACAUUAUUUGUUUGGCGAAAAGUGCCAUGUAUUUUCGGAUCACAAAAGUCUCAAAUAUUUGAUGACUCAAAGAGACUUAAAUCUGCGACAAAGACGUUGGCUUGAGUUGUUGAAAGUUUACGAACUUGUCAUUGAUUACCACCCGGGAAAGGCUAAUGUGGUUGCAGACGCCUUAAGCCGAAAAUCGCUGUUUACUUUACGAGCGAUGAAUGUGCACUUGUCUGUUCUACCCGACAAUGUGUUAGUAGCUAAAUUAAAAGCCAAACCAUUAUUGAUUCAUCAAAUUCGUGAAGCCCAGAAAGUUGAUGAUGAAUUGGUUGCAAAACAGGCUGAGUGUGUUCCGAACAAGGAAUCGGAGUUUCAAAUGGAUGAUGAUGAUUGUUUGAGGUUCAGAAGUCGUUUGUGUGUUCCAAGGAAUUCGGAACUUAUUUCGAUGAUUUUGAAUGAGGCUCAUAGUGGCCGAAUGUCUAUCCACCCGGGUAGUACUAAAAUGUACAACGAUCUGAAACGUCAAUUUUGGUGGCCAGGCAUGAAACGAGACAUUUUUGAAUUUGUUUCAAGGUGUUUGAUAUGUCAACAAGUAAAAGCGGAACAUCAAGUGCCAUCUGGAUUACUUCAGCCAAUCAUGAUACCCGAAUGGAAAUGGGAUCGAGUGACAAUGGACUUUGUGUCUGGGUUACCUUUGACUCAGAGUAAGAAAGACUCGGUAUGGGUUAUUGUUGAUAGAUUGACCAAGUCUGCUCAUUUUAUCCCUGUCCAUACAGAUUUUUCGCUCGAUAAAUUGGCAGAAAUAUACAUCUCCCAAAUUGUUCGAUUGCAUGGUGUACCUAUUUCUAUCGUGUCAGAUAGAGACCCAAGAUUUACAUCGCGAUUUUGGAAGAAAUUGCAAGAAGCUUUGGGUACCAAGCUGCAUUUUAGCACUGCUUUUCACCCCCAAACCGAUGGCCAAUCUGAACGAAUAAUUCAGAUACUCGAGGAUAUGUUGAGAUGUUGCGUCUUAGAGUUCUGUGGUUCAUGCGAAAGAUAUUUGCCCUUGAUUGAAUUUGCUUAUAACAAUAGCUUUCAAUCAAGCAUUAAGAUGGCACCUUACGAGGCUUUAUACGGUCGCAAGUGCCGUACCCCAUUAUUUUGGACUGAACUUAGUGAAAGUAAAAUCUUUGGGGUUGAUUUGAUUAAGGAUGCCGAGCAGAAAGUCCAAGUAAUUCACGAAAGUUUAAAAGCCGCUUCGGAUCGUCAAAAGUCGUAUGCGGAUUUGAAAAGAAAAGACAUUGAAUAUCAGGUUGGAGAUAAAGUAUUUCUCAAAGUUUCACCCUGGAAGAAGGUGCUUAGAUUUGGUCGUCAGGGCAAAUUGAGUCCGAGGUUCAUCGGUCCGUACGAAGUAUCCGAACGAGUUUGACCAGUUGCAUACCGAUUAAUUUUGCCCCCUGAGCUCGAAAAGAUUCACAACGUCUUUCAUGUUUCGAUGCUUCGACGCUAUAGAUCUGAUCCUUCGCACAUAAUUAGUCUGUCGGAGGUUGAAAUUCAAGCCGAUAUGAGUUAUGAAGAAGAGCCGAUGCGUAUCCUAGCUCGUGAAGUGAAGGAGUUGCGAAACAAAAGGGUUCUGUUAGUAAAGGUGUUAUGGCUCAAACACGGGAUCGAGGAAGCUACUUGGGAAACCGAGAGCUCGAUGAAAGAACAAUACCCAAACCUAUUCACCGGUAAGAUUUUCGGGGACGAAAAUUUCUUAAGUGGGGGAGAGUUGUGACAGCCCAAAAUUGACCCUAGUCGGGAAGUGGUUUUGGGACCACAAAAUCGAGUCAUAAAAAUAAUUAAUUUCCAUAUUCUAUGCUUAUUAUGUGUGUACAUGAGUAUGUGGAAGUUUCAUUCUCCAAUUUUGCCAAUUGCAUGAGAAAUUAUUAAAUAGGGAUCGAUAUGAGACAUGGUGAAAAUAUGAUAGGCUAAUUUAAAAUGGUCUAUUAAUGCAUGUUAUGAAAAUGAUGGGUUUGCAUGUCAAAUUACCCAAAAUUUGAGCUAGUGGUUGGCCAUGCUAUGGGUGGAAACAUGUUGGGAAUAUGUUGGCUUAGUGAGGUAUGUUAGGAAAAAAUAAAAUAAGGAGUAUGGGUAAUAAAGAAAUGAAAACAAAAAAAAAUGUGUGGUUGUUUCCCCCCUAUUGCCGUGAGCUAAAGAAAGGAAAAGAAAAAUUUUGUUCAUCCUUUUUCAUCCUCUUUUGACCGAAAAUUCUAAGGGAGGAGGAAGGAGUUCUUGCUUCAUGUUUGGUUUGGAAGAGAAUUAGGAGGAAGUUUGGCCAUGCAUGUAACUAGAUUGAGGUAUGUUUGAUAUUAUUCUUUGAGAUUCAUGUAUAUUUUAAGUUGUAAGUUUGAAAUCUACCUAGCCAUGGUUCAAACUUUGUUAAAUGAUGGAGAUGAUAUUCGGCCAUGAAUGUUACAUUCUUGGUUGGUAUUUUGAUGUCUUUGGUGAUGAGGUAUGGAGAUGGUUGACUUUGAGUUGUUAUUAAGGAGGUGCCGAAUGUGGUCCUUGAAGGGCCUUGAGGAACAAUAUAUGUGGUUUGGGUUACAACAUUCGGCCAUGGUAGUUUGAGGAUUAAGGAUUUUAUUUCUUGUUAAAAUUGGAUGAAUCUUAGUGUGUGAGUGUUUGAACUAACUAAGGAUCAAAUAGAUGCAUGGGUACAAAGUAGGAAGAAUCGGCUACUAUGGUUGAUACUAAUGCCGAAUGUGAAAAUGUUAUAUUAAAUAAUGUAUGUGAUUUGUGUUAAUAAUAUGAAAAAAAUAUAUAUUUAGAUGUAUUGUAAGUGAUUAAGUAUUAAACCAAAAGUUGCUAAAAUUGCCAUUUCUUUAGCCGAAUAUGUGUUUGAUCAAUGAAGAAUUUGUUGGAAAAUAUAGGUGAACUUGGUAAGAGUACUCGGCUUAGUGUAUAAAUGAUAUAAAGAUUUUAGAAAUUAUUUUUGGUUAGGUGUAUGUAUGAUUAGGUAUAUUCGGCCAUAUGAGUAAAUAUAUAGAUGAUGUUAAAUUUGAUUAUGUAUAAUGGGCCAUAUAGGGUACACAUUGUGAUAUUAACUUUGAUUCUCUAUAAUUGAUCAAGUGGGUGAUUAGUAAGGGUGAUUGCCGAAUAUACUAACAUACAUAUGCAUGUGUAAUUGGAUUGUAAAUAUUUAGCAAGGCGGUUAAACUAGUUGAUUUAUUGAUUAAGCUCAAGGAGUUAAAGGAGGAGAAUCGAGCAAAGGCAAAGAAAAGAUCAUCGAGUAGCCGAGUUGGAACCAUCUUACCCAACACAAGUAAGUCAUUAAGCAUAUAUUUUGUAUUAAUUUAAAUGGUCAUAACGUCUAUGUAAUGAUGCUGAAUGGAACGAUAAAUAUAUAUACAUGUAUGCAUGGGGUGAUGAAAGUAUUGAAUAAAAAAAAGAAAAGAGGUGAGAUGAAUUGAGUUGUUGGUUUAGGCACUAAGUGUGUGGGUGUAAACAUUUAUGAUCAUGAGAUUGGCACUAAGUGUGCGGGUUUAAAUUGUACAGCACUAAGUGUGCGAGUUUAAAGUACAUGGCACUAAGUGUGCGCGGUUGAUUAUUAAGCACUAUGUGUGCGAACCCAAUAUAUAUAUUUUCUAUAAAUUAUUUACAUUAAGGGUGCGACUUUACCGAGUCGAUUUUGGACAGCGGAAAAAGGUAAGUGUGCGAACUUGAAAUGCAUGGCACUAAGUGUGUGAGUUUAAAGUGCAUGGCACUAAGUGUGCGUGGUUGAUUACUAAACAUUAUGCGUGCAACCCUAUAUAUAUUUUCUAUAAAUUAUUUACAUGAAGGGUGCAACUUUACCGAGUCAAUUUUGGACAGCGGAAAAGGUCCUUGAGUUCAUGGCUAAUAGGCGCUAUGUUUAUAUUUGGAGUUGAGCUUGGUAAGUUUUGAACCUAUGUGACGAUUAUAGUUGAAGUCAAGUACAUAAGGUUCAUUGUGGAAUAGGUGAAAGUUCGUUUAAUUGUAUGAUUAUAACGAAAAUAAAAUGAUGUAUGAAAGGUCAAUGUAGGACUUGGUAUGAGAUUGAACCAUAGGGUUUAAGGAACUAUGGUAUAGUUCGGUAUGGAUGGAGUACUUAACCUCAUUUCAUUGUUUCCUGUUGUGAUAAUUUUAUUAAUGGAUGGUUGUGGAAUGCUUAUGGCUUACUGAGUUAUAUACUCAUUCGGUGUUUGCUUGUCACCUAUUCUAGGUUUCUUGGACUCGUCUCUUUUUGCGUGAUCGUGCCGUCGUCGAAGUCAUCACACCGGCUAGCAACCUUUGGUAUUUUCUUCUUAGUUGGUCUAGGAGAACAUUUCGGCAUGUAUAGGCUAAUAUGUUUUGUUGAAAUUUGGUAUGUAAACUUUUAGCCAUGCGAAAAUGGCAUAAUGUUCGGUUGAAUUUGGUUCUAAUGUUGGGUCGUAAGUCUUGGUAAUACGAUUUUUAUGCCAUAUGUCAUGGCUGAUUAAUUUUGGUGUUAAGAUUCAUGAUACGGAAAUAGCGUAGUAGGGAGAUGUUUGACAAUGAUUAGCCUUUGGUAUGGCUAGUCAUGAUUAUAAUUUUGUGAUAUGUAUGAUGAAUUACUAGUUAGAUCAAUGAGAAAUCACGAAAUGGACAUAGUUGCUUCAGUAACAGAUGCUGGCAGCAGCAGUGAUGUGGGAUUGAAAAAUUACAAAAAUUAGUAGGAAUGGUAUUAAAUAGUUAAUAAAUUAUGUAAUCGAAGCUCGAUGAGUCUAUUUUCAUAUAGAAGCAACGAAACAAUCAUAUGGACAGUAUGUUAAGAGAUAUUCAGGUUCUCGUGAGACAGGGCCAGAACGGUUUCUGGGUUCCCUGUUCCAAAUUUGGAAAUUCAUUAUAAAUUAACCAGAGAUAAUUAGGAGCCAUGCCAUAUAUGUAUAGAUUCUACUCUGAGUCUAGUUUAUAUAGAAACAAACGGAAUCAGUAUUGAAGUUCUGUACAGAGAGAUAUCUGGGUUGUAAUGCGCAAAGGUCAGUGCAGUCGACCCCAGUAACAUGGGAGACUUUGACUAAUAAACUGUACUAAUUGGUCCAACAAAAAAUUCUAGAAAAAAAUAUGUAGAUGGGCAUAUGAGUCUAGUUUCAGGGAAAAUUCACAGAACUGGAUUUCGAGUUCCAAAACUCAAGAUAUGAUUUUUAAAGCGACCAGCAUGCAGAUUGGUAGCUUGUCUGGAAAAAUUUUAAUAAGUGGUUUGAAGUCUGUUAACACCUCGUGUUCGACUCUGGCGACGGUCUCGAGUUCGGGGUGUUACAACAAAAAUCUCACGUUUCACUCGCAAAGAAAAUUCACACAACUUGGCUUUUACUUCUCUCAAAUGGUCUCACCAAUCACUCUUGCCUUUUUCCACUCGAUUUUUCGCCUCUCGAAGUUCUUCGCAAACUAAGUCGACGAAUCAAUACCGUUUGGCGUCGGCUUACAAAAUUGAUUUGGCUUGGUGGGUAAUGAUGUCGGAAAUGGUAGGCUAUCAAACAAAAUAGAAAUGGUUAAGUGUGGCUAUAUAGAUAUGGUCCUUCGGGCAACAAGCAAUGCUUUUACAAACCCAAAAUGAAUUUCAAUCACUCUUUUUUUUUUCAAUUUCGAUUUUUUUCUUCUUUUUUUUAAUUCUGAAUUUUUUUUCUUCUUUUUUUUCCUUCAAUACUAAAUAAAAAAAAGUAAAAAUAAAUUGAAUACAAACUUUUUUUUUGAAUUUUUUUUUUUGAAUUUUUUUUCAAGUUUUUUUUAUUUUUUUACAAUACCGUAAUACUGAUAACGUCGAUCUUACUCCGAUUCAGCUAGCUCUGAUACCAAAUGAUACGCCCCCGGCCUCGUUGAUGAAUCCGAGUCGUUGUUAUGCCCGAUCGUGAAUUGGAGUAAUACUCGAGGGUGGACGAAAUAGGUUAAGAAAGAAGAGAUAAAGGCUCAAAUUUAGUUCAAAAGGGGUUAUGAAAUGUAUUGAGGAUGAUAGGUGAAUGAAAACCAAGUAUUCAAGUUGAACCAACACAAUAUAAGUGUGUUAACCCGGGACUUAUACGAAUACUUAGGAAAGGUUAAAUGUUGUAUGGAUGGAAAACGAAUAAAAUGGAACCUCGACCCACUAUCAAAGAUGAUAGGAACCUCGGUAUAACUUGAACGCCACACUUUGGGUGCAAAGUGAUAAGUUCGAAAUACAAAAACGGGUUGACGCCACAAGGGUUACUUGAUAAGUCUAACCAGUCCUUGGAGAACAAUGAGAGUUGAAAACAAACUCACAAAGUAAACAAAUUUCAUAUAAGUUUCAAAAAUAUAUUGUCUAACCCUAAAACAAUUACAAAGCAAACUAUUUAUAGCUAAAUUCCUAGGCUAGCCGAAUGGACACUUGAGUAGCUAAAAAGUCAGCUUAUUUUCAAAGCAAAUGAAUUGAAAAUUUCAUGUAGCUUCCUAGAACAUCCCUUGGGGCUUUCUUGAAGAUUCCCAGCUUUGGAGACGUCAAUGGACAGCCAUUUGAUGUCUUCUAAUAGCCUUGAAUUAAUGAGGUGAUGGUUGAGCUGAAAUGGCUGAAUAGAAUUGUUUAGAUUGGCCUAAAUUCGUCCAACUUGUGUGAAAGCUCUUAUGGAUGCUUGGGGAGCUCAAAGGCCAACUUGGGGAAGAGAAAUGGGCUGCCAAAUAAAUGUGAGGAGUCAUAUCUUUUUAAUCUCCAAGAAGAGGCACAUUCCCUCACAUGGACGGCACAUUUAUGGCAUUUGAGAAGAACGAAAAUGGCUCAUGGAAAAGAGGAAUCAGCAACUCUUCAUGGAUCCCUUGCUGUGCAUGAAAAAAAUAAAUCAGCAGCUCAUUAAGUGGACGUUCCUUGCAUGUGGAACAUCACAUUUAAUUCAUGGCUUUGCUGCACAAUAAAUCAGCAAGCAGCUUCUUUAAUUUCGUCCAUUAAAUGGCCACAUGAAAAAGCACAAGCAGCUCCUUAAAUGCUUCCAGCAUCCAUUGAAUGGCCGUCCAUAAUUGCUUUUGCUGCACAUUAAUUCCAGCAAUUUUAAUUUCGGCAACAACCACUUCUUUUAAUGCUGUCCAUGUACCUGCAUGCAACAACCAUUAAUUCAUGUUAAGACAACAUUAAAUGGUUAACUAGACAUAUUUAAUUCGGCAGCCACAAUUAACUUCAACUGGACACCAUUUAAGACAUCAUUAAAUUCGGUUGUAGCAAAACAAAUUAAAUGAUGUAAUGACAAUUAAAUUCAGCUGGACACCUUAAAAACAUACAUUAAAUUCGUCCAAACAUGUAGCAGCAGCAUUAAUUUCGUCCAGACAUAUUUAUAACAUGCAGUGGCAGCAUUAAAUUCGUCAUAAUAAAUAGAUGUAAUAGCCUAGACAUAUUUAUGCUAUGUAUGAAAAUAGGACACAUUAAAAAAAUAUAAAAAUAAAACAUAUUUAAAACACCUAAUUAAAAUGUCCAAUUUUAAUAAAUUUAAUACUAACACUUAGUUGUGCUGGAAUAAAUAAAUAAACUAACUUAUUCAAUUUAUUUUAGCAAAUGAAAAUUUAAGAAUUAAAAUAAACUCAAAUUGAGCAAAAUGAUCCCAUUGAGCUGGAAACAAGCUAAACGAAGCUCAGCGAGAUGCAAUUGAGCUAAUUUAGCUCGCAUGGGUGUGCAAGAAAUACUUAUGGAGCUGAUCGAAAAAUGUGCCCGAGGCGUGGUCGUAUCA